Molecule: ribosomal RNA, 588 nt
Filed under: Meyerozyma guilliermondii
Lineage: Eukaryota; Fungi; Ascomycota; Pichiomycetes; Serinales; Debaryomycetaceae
Description: partial large subunit ribosomal RNA
Rfam family: Eukaryotic large subunit ribosomal RNA
Source: RNAcentral
ACGGGGUCAUUGCCUUAGUAGCGGCGAGUGAAGCGGCAAAAGCUCAAAUUUGAAAUCUGGCGCCUUCGGUGUCCGAGUUGUAAUUUGAAGAUUGUAACCUUGGGGUUGGCUCUUGUCUAUGUUUCUUGGAACAGGACGUCACAGAGGGUGAGAAUCCCGUGCGAUGAGAUGCCCAAUUCUAUGUAAGGUGCUUUCGAAGAGUCGAGUUGUUUGGGAAUGCAGCUCUAAGUGGGUGGUAAAUUCCAUCUAAAGCUAAAUAUUGGCGAGAGACCGAUAGCGAACAAGUACAGUGAUGGAAAGAUGAAAAGAACUUUGAAAAGAGAGUGAAAAAGUACGUGAAAUUGUUGAAAGGGAAGGGUUUGAGAUCAGACUCGAUAUUUUGUGAGCCUUGCCUUCGUGGCGGGGUGACCCGCAGCUUAUCGGGCCAGCAUCGGUUUGGGCGGUAGGAUAAUGGCGUAGGAAUGUGACUUUACUUCGGUGAAGUGUUAUAGCCUGCGUUGAUGCUGCCUGCCUAGACCGAGGACUGCGAUUUUAUCAAGGAUGCUGGCAUAAUGAUCCCAAACCGCCCGUCUUGAAMMAMSGGACACA